GGGGGAGACGGGCGGAGGGGAGGAAAGUCCGGGCUCCAUAGGGCAGGGUGCCAGGUAACGCCUGGGGGGGAAACCCACGACCAGUGCAACAGAGAGCAAACCGCCGAUGGCCCACGUAAGUGGGAUCAGGUAAGGGUGAAAGGGUGCGGUAAGAGCGCACCGCGCGGCUGGUAACAGUCCGUGGCACGGUAAACUCCACCCGGAGCAAGGCCAAAUAGGGGUUCACAUGGUACGGCCCGUACUGAACCCGGGUAGGCUGCUUGAGCCAGUGAGCGAUUGCUGGCCUAGAGGAAUGACUGUCCACGACAGAACCCGGCUUACCGGUCAGCUCCCUCU
Molecule: RNase P RNA, 336 nt
Filed under: Serratia liquefaciens
Lineage: Bacteria; Pseudomonadati; Pseudomonadota; Gammaproteobacteria; Enterobacterales; Yersiniaceae
Description: partial RNase P RNA component class A
Rfam family: Bacterial RNase P class A
About the family: Ribonuclease P (RNase P) is a ubiquitous endoribonuclease, found in archaea, bacteria and eukarya as well as chloroplasts and mitochondria. Its best characterised activity is the generation of mature 5'-ends of tRNAs by cleaving the 5'-leader elements of precursor-tRNAs.
Source: RNAcentral